This 166-nucleotide small RNA is filed under the name Pedobacter xixiisoli. Its description in RNAcentral is "Flavo-1 RNA". It matches the Rfam family "Flavo-1 RNA". The record is from RNAcentral. Lineage: Bacteria; Pseudomonadati; Bacteroidota; Sphingobacteriia; Sphingobacteriales; Sphingobacteriaceae.
AAUUAAACCUGAUGGGAGCGGAAAUAUUUUUGUGUGGUGUCAUCCUGGUCCCGAAGUAUCGGGAGAAGGAUUUUGUGUUAAUUGCAGGCGCUUCGAUAAACUCAGCAUGACAAAAAAGAGCAAUAACAUAAACACAAAAAAAUAAUAGCGUACAGCAGGACUAAUU